Molecule: ribosomal RNA, 253 nt
Filed under: uncultured bacterium
Lineage: Bacteria
Description: partial 16S ribosomal RNA
Rfam family: Bacterial small subunit ribosomal RNA
Source: RNAcentral
UACGAAGGGGGCUAGCGUUGCUCGGAAUCACUGGGCGUAAAGGGUGCGUAGGCGGGUCUUUAAGUCAGGGGUGAAAUCCUGGAGCUCAACUCCAGAACUGCCUUUGAUACUGGACGUCUGGAGAUCGGGAGAGGUUGGUGGAAUUCCGAGUGUAGAGGUGAAAUUCGUAGAUAUUCGGAAGAACACCAGUGGCGAAGGCGACUCACUGGACACAUAUUGACGCUGAGGUGCGAAAGCGUGGGGAGCAAACAGG